This 72-nucleotide transfer RNA is filed under the name Loxodonta africana (African savanna elephant). It matches the Rfam family "tRNA". Rfam says of the family: Transfer RNA (tRNA) molecules are approximately 80 nucleotides in length. Their secondary structure includes four short double-helical elements and three loops (D, anti-codon, and T loops). Lineage: Eukaryota; Metazoa; Chordata; Mammalia; Proboscidea; Elephantidae. The record is from Rfam by way of RNAcentral.
GUGGGUGUAGUUCAGUGGUAGAAUGUGUGCUUAGCAUGUAUGAGGCCCUCGGUUCUAUGCCCAGCACUUCCA